CUAAUUCAAAUUUGUACGGAGUUGGAACGUUUGCCUACGUUUGCCGCUAGGGGCGCUGUUCCAACUGCAUACAUAUCUGAGUUA
This is a non-coding RNA of Bombyx mori (domestic silkworm), 84 nucleotides long. NCBI's taxonomy places the organism in Eukaryota, Metazoa, Arthropoda, Insecta, Lepidoptera, Bombycidae. The record is from Rfam.